Molecule: ribosomal RNA, 393 nt
Filed under: uncultured bacterium
Lineage: Bacteria
Description: partial 16S ribosomal RNA
Rfam family: Bacterial small subunit ribosomal RNA
Source: RNAcentral
AUACGGAGGAUGCAAGCGUUAUCCGGAUUUAUUGGGUUUAAAGGGUGCGUAGGCGGUUUGCUAAGCGGGAGGUGAAAUGCCGGCGCUCAACGUCGGAAGUGCCUCCCGAACUGGUGGACUUGAAUGACUCUGCCGUGGGAGGAAUGUGUAGUGUAGCGGUGAAAUGCUUAGAGAUUACACAGAACACCGAGUGCGAAGGCAUCUCACGAAGGGUUGAUUGACGCUGAGGCACGAAAGCGUGGGGAUCAAACAGGAUUAGAUACCCUGGGAGUCCACGCAGUAAACGAUGAUGGCUAACCUCUGGUUUAUUCGGAUCAGUGGCCAAGCGAAAGCGAUAAGCCAUCCACCUGGGGAGUACGGCCGCAAGGUUGAAACUCAAAGGAAUUGACGGGG